CGAACGGGUGAGUAACGCGUGAGUAACCUGCCCUGGAUGGGGGACAACAGUUGGAAACGACUGCUAAUACCGCAUAAGCCCACGAUCCGGCAUCGGAUUGAGGGAAAAGGAUUUAUUCGCUUCAGGAUGGACUCGCAUCCAAUUAGCUAGUUGGUGAGGUAACGGCCCACCAAGGCGACGAUUGGUAGCCGGACUGAGAGGUUGAACGGCCACAUUGGGACUGAGACACGGCCCAG
RNAcentral lists this ribosomal RNA (236 nucleotides) under uncultured bacterium. Its description in RNAcentral is "partial 16S ribosomal RNA". It matches the Rfam family "Bacterial small subunit ribosomal RNA", at positions 99 to 334 of the family's 1533-position model. The record is from RNAcentral.